This 378-nucleotide ribosomal RNA is filed under the name Babesia microti. RNAcentral's name for it is "SSU rRNA". It matches the Rfam family "Eukaryotic small subunit ribosomal RNA", at positions 486 to 888 of the family's 1831-position model. Lineage: Eukaryota; Apicomplexa; Aconoidasida; Piroplasmida; Babesiidae. The record is from RNAcentral.
CAAAACAUCCCUUAAGUCUUGUAUUGGAUGAUGGGAAUCUAAACCCUUCCCAGAGUAUCAAUUGGAGGGCAAGUCUGGUGCCAGCAGCCGCGGUAAUUCCAGCUCCAAUAGCGUAUAUUAAAGUUGUUGCAGUUAAGAAGCUCGUAGUUGAAUUUCUGCCUUGUCAUUAAUCUCGCUUCCGAGCGUUUUUUUAUUGACUUGGCAUCUUCUGGAUUUGGUGCCUUCGGGUACUAUUUUCCAGGAUUUACUUUGAGAAAACUAGAGUGUUUCAAACAGGCAUUCGCCUUGAAUACUACAGCAUGGAAUAAUGAAGUAGGACUUUGGUUCUAUUUUGUUGGUUAUUGAGCCAGAGUAAUGGUUAAUAGGAGGAGGGGGGAG